GCUGCCCGCUGCCGGCAGCCCCUCGCGCACCGCACGCUGGGGCGCGGAGCUUUCCUGCCCGGCUGCAGACCAACCAAUAGCGACUUGGCCCCGUGGGGGCGGGCUCAAAACGCAGCGCGCUUAUUGCCUGUCGGAAACGUCAAUCCCGCUUCCUCCUCCCCUCCCUCCCCCCGUUGCCAUCGCAACCGCACGCCGCGCAGGCUCAGUUGCUUCAAGAUCUGCGCGUGCGGAAUAAGUUACACUCACGUGCGGAGCGGAUGUGGCAGUUGCCAAAGCUUCAGCCCAGGCUCGCAGAAUGAAGCUGCAUUGAAGUACGUACAACCAUUCGUUGCAGGACAAACCUGAGAAGUGGUGGCAAGAGGAAGGUAGAUCACUGUGCAGCUCAGGUUUUAAAGUUCUCAUCAGGUGCCAGCCUCCCGCAGGGAGCACCUAGAGGUUAGUACCAUAAUCCU
Phasianus colchicus (ring-necked pheasant) is the source of this 452-nucleotide non-coding RNA. NCBI's taxonomy places the organism in Eukaryota, Metazoa, Chordata, Aves, Galliformes, Phasianidae. The record is from RefSeq and is a predicted model, not a curated record.